RNAcentral lists this unclassified non-coding RNA (2564 nucleotides) under Polistes dominula (European paper wasp). RNAcentral describes it as "transcription factor 12, transcript variant X12". The record is from RNAcentral. Lineage: Eukaryota; Metazoa; Arthropoda; Insecta; Hymenoptera; Vespidae.
AAAAGAAAAGAAAAAGAAAAAAGAUUGACGAACGAAUAUGGAUCGAAGUUUCAAGAACAACAUGGACUUCAAGAUGAAUCAGCAAAACUUUAAAUUGAGUGAUUUUGGCCUCGACGGUAAAUUAUCAUCCAGCGUACAUUCGAAAGUGAUUCGGAGUUCGGUAAGGACCGGUUGUUCGUGUUACUCUCAAAUCGAAUCCGUUCAAAUCCGAGGGACAUUUUCGAAUAACGGUGAUAGUCAUAGUAAUAGUCUUGCACAAAGUGGGACCAAUGAACUAAACCUCUCUAGACUAUCUUCAAACGUAGGAAGAAGAGAUAUCGAUACUCCAAUCGUUUGCAACGAUCAUUUUCGAACUUCUUCGUCUUCGUCUUCUUCUUCUUCUUCUUCUCCUUCUUCCGCUUCCUCCGCCACUUCUACCUCUUCUUCUUCAUCCUCGAGUCAAGCUCGAAAGAUUGGCCAAUCAGCGAGUAACCUAUUCGUUGAUAGCUUUCAAACUUCCAAUCCAAGCAACAACAAUACUGCUAUUCCUUUGUCAGGAACUACUAGUUCGAUACUACAAGGAAAUGUUUCUUCGAUCCCGUCGCCGAAUUAUUGGAAGCAAUAUGGCGGCCAGGAAAGUGGGUAUGGCUCGGACGAAUUCGCACAAGACUCUCCGAGAUAUACCUCGUCAAAAGCUGCGGCCAUCUAUAGUGAUACAUAUUAUAUCGAUGGAAAUGCAGCGGGUACGGGUUCUAGUGAUCCAUGGACGGGAGGUGGCGGUAGUGUUCAACAACCCCCGUAUAGCGGAUACGCUCCCCCUCACCUGGCUCAACCAGCCUACCCCAUGCACAUAUCCCAUGAUCCCAUGGCAUACUCAUCGAUGUCACCGAACGGUGAACCAGCAGCGCCGAUCCUUGGUUCGGCUGUGACCAGUGCGGCUUCACUUCCGCCGAUGUCGACAUUCCGGGGUAGCGCGGCUGUUGCGGUAGCAGCAGCAGCGAACAGUGGCACUGGAGCACCUUCUCCAGCAUCUUUGCAAUAUAGUCAUAGUCCUGGCGCACCAACCACUGCACCAUCGGCGCCAAACGCCGCACCCACCAACAAUCAACAACCACCUACGGGGGACACUCUUGGCAAAACUCUAGCCUCAGUAGUGAGCACAAGAAUCUUUCCCACGGACCAAUCAGUAUCGAGUUACAGUAGUAACCCAUCAACGCCGGUCAGUUCGCCACCACCUUUAACGGGAUCGACACCAAGUUGGGCACCUGGUGCUGCACCGGUAUCACCACAUUUUACUGCAGAUCCCAAUCGUGGCACUAUUCACAUGCCGGCGCCUGAACAGCAGAGGCUAGACGAUGCCAUCGGCUUCCUUCGCGACCAAGUCGAGUUGGUACAGGGAACGCGGAUGGAGGAACGAUUGGACGAUGCCAUAAAUGUUCUCAGGAACCAUGCAGAAAGUCAAUUAGGUCUUCAUUUAGUUGGCGGUCCUCAUGGUUCUAUUUAUUCUCACACAUCACCACCGCAGUUGGAUCAUUUGACAAGUCCACAUCCUGCGGUAACGGUAGCGCAACCACCGGGUUCAUAUCCUGGUCUUACACCAACACCCGAUACGGACGGUUCUAUUAAAAUAGAAAGGUUACCUGUUACAAAUGCCACAGAAUACAUCUCUCUAGAAAAGAGAAAAGAUACACCGGACAGUAGUGGCGGUGAAACAAAACCUUCGAGUAGCGAAUUAGCAGCUGCUGGUGUAAUUGGUACGACGACAGUUAAUUCGACGUCACAAGGAAAAGGAACGAAAAGGUCGCGUAGGUAUUGUUCGAGUGCUGACGAAGAUUGUGAUGAUCCUGGCACCAAAGCGGUGCGUGAAAAAGAACGUCGACAAGCCAACAACGUUCGUGAAAGGAUACGUAUUAGGGACAUCAAUGAAGCUUUAAAAGAACUUGGAAGAAUGUGUAUGACACAUUUAAAGACAGACAAACCUCAAACGAAGCUUGGUAUCCUUAAUAUGGCUGUUGAAGUUAUCAUGACACUUGAACAGCAAGUUAGAGAACGAAAUCUUAAUCCAAAAGCAGCAUGCCUGAAAAGAAGAGAAGAAGAAAAAGCAGAAGAUGGACCAAAGUUACCUGGUCAUUUAGCUGCCCACAUAGCACAUCCACAUCCUCACCCUCAUGCACAUUCUCAACCACCCUUUCCCGCGUUGCCUGGUCCACCACCUUCCCUUCAACACAAUCCAACGCAGCCGCAGUAGCAGCGGCUCUGCGGCGGUAUCAUCCUGUGUUAAGGGCUUGCAUAAUAGAGAUAUUAUUUCCAAAGAAACUUGGAAAGAAUUUAUCGGCAUAUCGAUUGGAACUGUGAUAAAAUAGCAACAAAUAUUAAGGAAUGUGGACGUAUGCAACAGUUUCAACACAGUCAUUAGAUUGCUCUAGUUCCAUUAUGUUCACGAAUGUCGAUAAAGUUGCGGAUUCUAUGAUGGAAUCGUUCGAAACAGGAUUUAAUUUUAUCAGCAGAAGUGAUAAAUAUUAAAAAGCUACAUGUUUUGUGAGAAAUACACUUAGCCAUAUAAUAUAAAGAAACUUUUCAUAUUA